GCCGAGGUAGCCAAGCGGUCAUGUUCAGCACCCAGGAUCCGUUCUCGCAGGAGUUCAGGAGUUCAAAUCUCCUCCUCGGCACCA
RNAcentral lists this transfer RNA (84 nucleotides) under Candidatus Thorarchaeota archaeon. Its description in RNAcentral is "tRNA-Leu". It matches the Rfam family "tRNA". Rfam says of the family: Transfer RNA (tRNA) molecules are approximately 80 nucleotides in length. Their secondary structure includes four short double-helical elements and three loops (D, anti-codon, and T loops). Further hydrogen bonds mediate the characteristic L-shaped molecular structure. tRNAs have two regions of fundamental functional importance: the anti-codon, which is responsible for specific mRNA codon recognition, and the 3' end, to which the tRNAs corresponding amino acid is attached (by aminoacyl-tRNA synthetases). tRNAs cope with the degeneracy of the genetic code in two manners: having more than one tRNA (with a specific anti-codon) for a particular amino acid; and 'wobble' base-pairing, i.e. permitting non-standard base-pairing at the 3rd anti-codon position. The record is from RNAcentral. Lineage: Archaea; Promethearchaeati; Candidatus Thorarchaeota.